Bombus huntii is the source of this 953-nucleotide long non-coding RNA. RefSeq lists it as uncharacterized. The transcript has 3 exons. Lineage: Eukaryota; Metazoa; Arthropoda; Insecta; Hymenoptera; Apidae. The record is from RefSeq and is a predicted model, not a curated record.
GUGGAGGUUUUAGUAGGUUGGAGUCCGGCAUUACCACGCCGCUUUUCCCCAGAAGCGACCUGGUGUCCGUGCGGAUUUCCUCCACGUUAAUAAUAAUAUUUAUAAAAAAAAGUUAUUUUUCACGUAGUUGACUCAUUGCUGAUCGAUCAAGAUGGAAUCUUAGGAUCCGAAUUUUUCGCAGGAUACAAGGCUCGUUUGGAUUACGAGCGAAAACAUAUAAGUGGGGAAAUAUUUAUAUCCCCUUCGAUACAAGAGAAAAGAUAAUCGUGCGGAAACGAAGUUCGGUACCAUUACAAAUGUUCGAUUAACAUUACAAAUCUGGAGAUAAAAGAGGGAUUUAUUCCCAAAAUCGAGCCAAUCAAGGGAGUCUAUUUUGGUAAUGUAGGUGCGAAGAACCAUAAGGGACAAGGAUAUACAAGAAUAAUAAAUACCACAUCGAAAGAUUACGAAUUUAUCACACCUACAAUAGUAAUUAAAGAAUUUGAGAACCUCGCCUCGCCGCCUGAAGUUCCGUCUUCUUGAUUAUCUCACCUUUUUUUGGACACACGGAGUCUGCUGAAGUUUCGUCUUCUUGAUUAUCUUGUUUACGCUAUUUUUAAUUUUCCACAUCCUUGAGACACGUAGAUGCUGCUGAAGUUUCGUCUUCUUAAUUUCUCAUGUUUCGUUUGGUGUUAGUGACAUACGAGGUUAUGUUGGAUCAUGGAUACUGAUAUGUCUGAAGCUGUAGAAUGUGAGAAGAAGAAAAAAAGUCGUAGGCCGUUCAAACCUCCUCCGAAACGUUCUAGGAAACGUGGUCGUCGUGGCGGCGCAAAAGCUCGUGGGCAGAGGUUAAGGAGGCUGGAGGGAUCGUCUUCCACAGAGGGUAGCAAUAGUGUGGCUCCAGCCCCAUCGUCGAGUCUCGGUGAUCCUUUUGGUUAUUGAUCUAACCUUCUCCGAUGAGGACAUCCUUCAGU